RNAcentral lists this long non-coding RNA (738 nucleotides) under Dromaius novaehollandiae (emu). RNAcentral describes it as "lncRNA (ENSDNVG00000018867.1)". Lineage: Eukaryota; Metazoa; Chordata; Aves; Casuariiformes; Dromaiidae. The record is from RNAcentral.
UGAUAAACUAUUGAUUUUCUUUGUGAUUUAGACUCGAGACUGUUCCAAGAGAUUUCUAUGAAAAGGCUCCAUAACUAAGUUCUGCCUAAUACAUCAGCUCAGGUGCAUAUUUCUUCCCAGUACUUCAAAGCAAUCUGCUGAACUGGCUGGACUUUCCCUGGAGGGAUAAAGUACAGGGCAAGCUCCACUUGAAAGCUAUUCUACAUUUCCCUUUCCCUCAGGUUAUGUGSAUGGCAAUGGGGCUUUGCUGGUGUGGGGGCUGCUGCGUGAUCUAAGCCUCCAUCUGAAGAAAGCGUGGAGGUGGCAAGGAUGCUCAGGCUGACAUCAGCAGUCCAUCCUGGGACUAAAAUGAAUGGUCAGACCCGUUCCCAUGAGGGACAGUGGGAAGUGGUCUGAAUAUCAAGAUUGUUAUUUCCGGAUAUAUCUGAACCAGUGGUUCUCCAAUGGAUGAUUUCUAUACCAACUUCUGGACUAGAUUYUAAUUUUUCAUUGAGGAGAAUCCAACUGUAUCAAAUCAGUUCAACCGGAAUUUCAUUCUGUUGAACUGACCUGAUUUGGGAUGCAAACCGACCUCUGAAAUGUUGAAAUUUCCCAUGAGAGCAGAAAUUCUGAAUUUUGCUCAGCUCUAGUUACUCCUCACAUGGAAAUGGCCUAAAGCAAACAAACCGCCACACUCCUAGCGCAGAUAGGAGAACCGCUUGGUAAGUAGGUUAAUAUGGAUGGGGUUCCCUGGUGACG